Molecule: long non-coding RNA, 1391 nt
Organism: Syngnathus acus (greater pipefish)
Lineage: Eukaryota; Metazoa; Chordata; Actinopteri; Syngnathiformes; Syngnathidae
Exons: 2
Source: RefSeq, a predicted model, not a curated record
GAUAAACAUAAUUUCAAGACAAAGCAAUGUGGGAUCAAUAAAGUCUAAAUUCCAAAUUAAUGAGAACCUGAAUCAAGACCACGGACCAGGGCAAUGGAAAUAGAGCUUAAUUGAAAGCUGAGGCAAUAUAACAAGACAAAGUGAUUGGGUGAAAGACCCAAACUGGAACGAUGAGAGGAAGACGUGACCCGGUAAGAACGUGAAAUGAACAUGGCAAGAACAAGACAAUGUGAGACAGAACAAGAUCAAGGUAUGGCCAAGUUAAGCUCAAGGCUGAGGCAAUGGCAAACAGAUUCAGAAGUAAUGUAAAGGCGAGUCCAGACCAAGACCAGGGCGAGGAAAAAGCCAACGUGAGGGCCAACGCAAAAUUUGUACCACCACAGAACUGUAAUUAUCAUUUACCACCAUGCGCUAGCCAGCAGGACAUGCCAUGCCGCCAUCCUGUCCUGUGCACGAGGGAUGCUGCCCUCUAGUCAGCCCACCGUCAGACGGCCGAUUAAACGUUAACAAAGACGACAUUAGAAAGCAAAUGGACGACAGCUGGUGCAAUCUUAGCACAGCGGAACAGCAGCGGAGAUGUCAGACAGUUAUUCGGAGUCACUGCCAAGAGCCACAAUAUGCUUGCUAAAAUUGCACUUGCAUGGUCAAUUUGCUUCUUUGUCCCGGAAAACCUGGCAAAGGCCCUCAAAGACUUCGUAUGACAUAGUUCUUCGAAAUGCGUACACGGGACAAAAGGUUUGCCUUAGCUUUUGGAUGAAAAGCACUGCAUGACUUCUGAAACUUUGGUUUUUUUUUAUGUUGGAAUGAAUUGAAAUUUCAUAAGGUUCGCCUCGGAAUAGACGUGUGUGUUCUUCUGAAACACACUCGUAAUCACCUUGAACAUCUUCCGAGAUCCAAGUGUUUCAACAAGCCAGGGGCGAAUCAAACAUUCAAGCCUUACGAAAAAAAACGAAAAAAAAAAACUGAAAGAUGUUGAAUAUGCAGCUUGAUCAAGUUGUUAGUCAGUCUUCGUAGGAGGAAGCUCAAAGUCAUUCAUGCUCAUGGAGAAAGUGGAUGAAAAUGUCACACCUUUAAAUCGGAUGCUUAAAGAAAUUCUUUUUUUUUGGGCCUUGGCUUAUUUUGUUGGCCGUUGGCGCAUUUGAAACUAUUUUUAUUUAUGUUAUGAACAUUUUAAGGACCGGAUCGCGGUAACGUGGACACAUGCCAACAGCUACACACAGAGUCCAUGACGGUCUUUAGUGGCUUGGUGACUCUUCCAGGAGACCAACGGUCGUCCGACGAGACGGCAGCUUGGCACCGGAGUGGUAGCUGAAUGCUGAAUCAGAAUCUGGCCAUCCAUCAUGGUAUGCAACUCGGCGGAAGAGUCCAAACUAUGAAGGAUAGCAAGACUG